CAGUAGCCGCGGGAAUACGAAGGGGGCUAGCGUUGCUCGGAAUUACUGGGCGUAAAGCGUGCGCAGGCGGUUUGUUAAGACAGAUGUGAAAUCCCCGGGCUCAACCUGGGAACUGCAUUUGUGACUGGCAAGCUAGAGUGUGGCAGAGGGGGGUGGAAUUCCGCGUGUAGCAGUGAAAUGCGUAGAUAUGCGGAGGAACACCGAUGGCGAAGGCAAUCCCCUGGGCCUGUACUGACGCUCAUGCACGAAAGCGUGGGGAGCAAGCAGGAUUAGAGACCCCUGUAGUCCCUGUCUCUUAUAC
RNAcentral lists this ribosomal RNA (301 nucleotides) under uncultured bacterium. RNAcentral describes it as "partial 16S ribosomal RNA". It matches the Rfam family "Bacterial small subunit ribosomal RNA", at positions 509 to 807 of the family's 1533-position model. The record is from RNAcentral.